RNAcentral lists this ribosomal RNA (304 nucleotides) under Bonamia sp. Ca 1-16 011005E1.16. RNAcentral describes it as "SSU rRNA". It matches the Rfam family "Eukaryotic small subunit ribosomal RNA", at positions 719 to 1011 of the family's 1831-position model. RNAcentral also lists the same sequence under 1 other name. Lineage: Eukaryota; Endomyxa; Ascetosporea; Haplosporida; Haplosporidiidae. The record is from RNAcentral.
CAUUUAAUUGGUCGGGCCGCUGGUCCUGAUCCUUUACUUUGAGAAAAUUAAAGUGCUCAAAGCAGGCUCGCGCCUGAAUGCAUUAGCAUGGAAUAAUAAGACACGACUUCGGCGCCGCCACUCGUGGCGGGUGUUUUGUUGGUUUUGAGCUGGAGUAAUGAUUGAUAGAAACAAUUGGGGGUGCUAGUAUCGCCGGGCCAGAGGUAAAAUUCUUUAAUUCCGGUGAGACUAACUUAUGCGAAAGCAUUCACCAAGCGUGUUUUCUUUAAUCAAGAACUAAAGUUGGGGGAUCGAAGACGAUCAG